Molecule: unclassified non-coding RNA, 268 nt
Filed under: uncultured fungus
Lineage: Eukaryota; Fungi
Description: sequence contains ITS1
Source: RNAcentral
UUAACUAUUAUAUAGUACUCAGACAUCACUAAAGACAAGAGUUGUGGUCCUCUGGCGGGCACGCAACAGCCGAAGCCGCUGGCACGAGGCGGCCCGCCAAAGCAACAAAGGUAAUUUAUUCAAGGGUGGAGUUCAGGACCGAGCUUCUUCGAGAGGCCCGACGACUCUAAACCUUACCGAAGUAGGGUAGCCCCAGGGAGCAAGGCUCCGCGGGCGCUGUCUAUCCUUUGCUCUAGUAAUGAUCCUUCCGCAGGUUCACCUACGGAAA